UACAGAGGGUGCGAGCGUUGUCCGGAAUCACUGGGCGUAAAGGGCGCGUAGGCGGCUUCUCACGCGUGCGGUGAAAGCCCGGGGCUCAACCCCGGGUCGGCCGUGCGGACGGGGAGGCUGGAGUCUGGUAGAGGCCGAUGGAAUUCCGGGUGUAGCGGUGGAAUGCGUAGAGAUCCGGAAGAACACCAGUGGCGAAGGCGGUCGGCUGGGCCAGCAUCCGUGAGGAUGGCCGGUGCAAACCGGUACUGACGCUGAGGCGCGACAGCGUGGGGAGCAAACAGG
This 282-nucleotide ribosomal RNA is filed under the name uncultured Gemmatimonas sp. RNAcentral describes it as "partial 16S ribosomal RNA". It matches the Rfam family "Bacterial small subunit ribosomal RNA", at positions 524 to 776 of the family's 1533-position model. The record is from RNAcentral. Lineage: Bacteria; Pseudomonadati; Gemmatimonadota; Gemmatimonadia; Gemmatimonadales; Gemmatimonadaceae.